Long non-coding RNA from Pollicipes pollicipes, 828 nucleotides. RefSeq lists it as uncharacterized. The transcript is spliced from 4 exons. The record is from RefSeq and is a predicted model, not a curated record. NCBI's taxonomy places the organism in Eukaryota, Metazoa, Arthropoda, Thecostraca, Pollicipedomorpha, Pollicipedidae.
UUAGUUCUGUUUAUGUUUGAUUUCUCCCAAGUGCAGAGCAAGAUCGAUCUCUGGAAGGAAGCAUAUACAUUUCAUGACGUGUCGGAAGAGCCUGUUACUCUAUCUGGUAGUGUCGGGCGACGAUUUUCACGAGCGAUGUCAAUCGUUCCUCACACCGUUUCCAAGACGCGGUAAUUGGGCCAGGAACAUUUCCGUACCAUUUGGGAGGAACCAUUGGUGCACCAUCUGAUGAAGGGCUCUACACUGCCAUGGUCAACCGUUGAGGACUAUAGAGGCGAUGCCAGCUCAAAAACGGAGCUCCAUGUCCACGUCCACCGAAGUGCUGUUAACAACGGUUCGGCGCGAUACAGUAGACACCAAAUUGAACGUUCUACGCAUGGAGUUUAUUAGCGCAAAACGGCCUAAAAACUGCGGUCAACGAAUAUCAACGCAGUGAAAUGACAACGUCUCUGCAUGUGACUUCACCAGAUGCUUCCCGGUACACCAGCAAAACUCCGGUCCACCUAAGCAUUUUGGUGGCGUCGCAUCUGCCAGCCACCAAACAAUGGAGUGGCACCGAAUGACCCGUUUCCGAGUGGGCAGAGCUCCGUCAACAGACUAUAGCGGUGAAGUUAACAGGUUUGAAUGCCAACAUGACCGAUGCAUACACAAGAGAUGGGUUUGCAACGCCCACAAUCAGCUCAAGGAAGAAAACGACACGCAUUGCGCGCUGUUAAAGCGUGAAAAUCAAAUAAAAGUAUAAAUUGGUAUGUCUGAAUACAACGUGCUAUGACUUUCACUACCGUCUGUGAAUUGAUGGUACUCAAUAGACAAAUAUUUUGUGCGAAA